GAUGAACGCUGGCGGCGUGCCUAACACAUGCAAGUCGAACGGACUUUACAUGAAGCCUAGCGAUUGUAAAGUUAGUGGCGGACGGGUGAGUAACGCGUGGGUAACCUGCCGUAUACAGGGGGAUAACACUUAGAAAUAGGUGCUAAUACCGCAUAAGCGCACAGUAUCGCAUGAUACAGUGUGAAAAACUCCGGUGGUAUACGAUGGACCCGCGUCUGAUUAGCUAGUUGGUGAGGUAACGGCUCACCAAGGCGACGAUCAGUAGCCGGCCUGAGAGGGUGAACGGCCACAUUGGAACUGAGACACGGUCCAAACUCCUACGGGAGGCAGCAGUGGGGAAUAUUGGACAAUGGGGGGCAACCCUGAUCCAGCGAUGCCGCGUGAGGGAAGAAGGUUUUCGGAUUGUAAACCUCUGUGGACAGGGACGAUAAUGACGGUACCUGUUUAGAAAGCCACGGCUAACUACGUG
This 469-nucleotide ribosomal RNA is filed under the name uncultured bacterium. RNAcentral's name for it is "bacterial SSU rRNA". It matches the Rfam family "Bacterial small subunit ribosomal RNA", at positions 28 to 507 of the family's 1533-position model. The record is from RNAcentral.